This is a non-coding RNA of Acanthosepion pharaonis, 107 nucleotides long. Lineage: Eukaryota; Metazoa; Mollusca; Cephalopoda; Sepiida; Sepiidae. The record is from the annotation of a GenBank genome assembly.
UCGUAUCACAUCAAAACACCGCUUCUCGUACGAUCAUCGAAGUUAAGCAACGUCGAACCUGGUUAGUAUCUAGAUGGGUGACCUCUUGGGAAUUGCAGGUGCUGUUA